RNAcentral lists this ribosomal RNA (721 nucleotides) under uncultured Burkholderiales bacterium. RNAcentral's name for it is "bacterial SSU rRNA". It matches the Rfam family "Bacterial small subunit ribosomal RNA", at positions 65 to 781 of the family's 1533-position model. The record is from RNAcentral. Lineage: Bacteria; Pseudomonadati; Pseudomonadota; Betaproteobacteria; Burkholderiales.
AACGGCAGCGCGGGAGCAAUCCUGGCGGCGAGUGGCGAACGGGUGAGUAAUAUAUCGGAACGUGCCCAGUAGUGGGGGAUAGCCCGGCGAAAGCCGGAUUAAUACCGCAUACGACCUGAGGGUGAAAGCGGGGGAUCGCAAGACCUCGCGCUACUGGAGCGGCCGAUAUCAGAUUAGCUAGUUGGUGGGGUAAAGGCCUACCAAGGCAACGAUCUGUAGUUGGUCUGAGAGGACGACCAGCCACACUGGGACUGAGACACGGCCCAGACUCCUACGGGAGGCAGCAGUGGGGAAUUUUGGACAAUGGGCGCAAGCCUGAUCCAGCAAUGCCGCGUGCAGGAAGAAGGCCUUCGGGUUGUAAACUGCUUUUGUCAGGGAAGAAAUCUUCUGGGCUAAUACCCCGGGAGGAUGACGGUACCUGAAGAAUAAGCACCGGCUAACUACGUGCCAGCAGCCGCGGUAAUACGUAGGGUGCGAGCGUUAAUCGGAAUUACUGGGCGUAAAGCGUGCGCAGGCGGCUUUGCAAGACAGAGGUGAAAUCCCCGGGCUCAACCUGGGAACUGCCUUUGUGACUGCAAGGCUAGAGUACGGCAGAGGGGGAUGGAAUUCCGCGUGUAGCAGUGAAAUGCGUAGAUAUGCGGAGGAACACCGAUGGCGAAGGCAAUCCCCUGGGCCUGUACUGACGCUCAUGCACGAAAGCGUGGGGAGCAAACAGGAUUAG